AUGAGGAAGGAAGCACUCUGGGCAUGCUUUGCAGUGGAACCUGAUUUUGAGGCAAUGAUUUCGGUUAGUUCAUAUCACUAGAUCUUGAUUAUUAUUCUGGAAUAUAUUUCCAUUCAUCUGAGCUGGAAAUUAUUGAAGAUGUUAUUGGUACUACAAUAGCAUGGCCAGCAGACAAAGUGGUUUUCUUUUAGAGCUCCGUUCAGAGAUGCUAAGAGAGCUAUAUAUGAAGGUUAGAAGCUAGUAAUGGACUGAUGUGGUCAUGAAUGAUAGGAGUUGCGCACAAGUACUUUUUGAUUGAGACAUUGUAGUACUUGUUUAUCUCUUCCUUGGAUUAAUUAUGCAAACUGAUCGACUGCUAGCUUUUGAGACAAUUUUAUUGAAUUGUAUUUGAAAUUCAUGUUUGAAGUUUGAGUAUUGAUGAGACGAUUGACAUUUA
Molecule: long non-coding RNA, 436 nt
Organism: Rosa rugosa (rugosa rose)
Lineage: Eukaryota; Viridiplantae; Streptophyta; Magnoliopsida; Rosales; Rosaceae
Exons: 2
Source: RefSeq, a predicted model, not a curated record